This is a long non-coding RNA of Carassius carassius (crucian carp), 670 nucleotides long. RefSeq lists it as uncharacterized. The transcript is spliced from 3 exons. NCBI's taxonomy places the organism in Eukaryota, Metazoa, Chordata, Actinopteri, Cypriniformes, Cyprinidae. The record is from RefSeq and is a predicted model, not a curated record.
CUUCAACGUCGCCGCCAUAUUGGAGUGGGCAACUCUCACAUCAGGAAAACAUAGGCCUACCUGACUCGUCGCCAGCUUGGGCAUCUACAGACCGUCACACAAUAAUAAAAACAGAUCUCGGGGUAUAAUCUUUCACACAUUUGGAAAAUAGCAUUACAUUACUUGCUCCUCUGCAGUGAAUGGGUGCCAUCAGAAUGAGAGUCCAGACAGCUGAUAGAAAUAUCACAAUAAUCUACAAGACUCCAGUCCAUCAAUUAAUGUCUUGUGAAGCAAGACGUUGUGUUUCCAAUCUUGGAUGGCCUGAAGAUGGUCUUUGCGUGAAAAAUCAGUGCUCCACCAGGUAUUGAGUUGUUGACAUGUACUGUAUGUCAGUCAGAGAGAAUGAAUCUUUAUCAAAGGUUCCCCACAGCUCUGCCACGCUGCCGUCACUUAACACUGCUUACACUUUGGCACAGCAGAUGGCCGCUGACAGUGAGAAAACAAGCAUGGAAAUAUCAGCAGAGAUGCUGAUGAAAGGGACAGAUACCCUAAGGUAUCCAUCAGUAAUGUCCAGUCCUCUGACCUCACUGCUUUUAAAGGAAUUGUAUACUGAAUCCUUUUAAUAGUAGGUGUAGUGUCAAGAUAUCAUGUUUAUUGAUGCAGUCACCGGGCAGUUUCUAAUGGAUGCAGU